Molecule: non-coding RNA, 46 nt
Organism: Schistosoma haematobium
Lineage: Eukaryota; Metazoa; Platyhelminthes; Trematoda; Strigeidida; Schistosomatidae
Source: Rfam
CCAUUGCUGAAGAGUUCCACAAUAGGACGAAACGGUCGUCCAGUGC